This 468-nucleotide ribosomal RNA is filed under the name uncultured bacterium. RNAcentral's name for it is "partial 16S ribosomal RNA". It matches the Rfam family "Bacterial small subunit ribosomal RNA", at positions 28 to 507 of the family's 1533-position model. The record is from RNAcentral.
GACGAACGCUGGCGGCGUGCUUAACACAUGCAAGUCGAGCGGAAAGGCCCUGCUUUUGUGUGGUGCUCGCGUGGCGAGCGGGUGAGUAACACAUGAGUAACCUGCCCUUGACUGUGGGAUAACUUCAGGCAACUGGGGCUAAUACCUGCUAGGAGCUCCUGCUGCAUGGGGGGGGUUGGAAAGUUUCGGCGGUUGGGGCUGGACUCGCGGCUUAUCAGCUUGUUGGGGGGGUAGUGGCUUACCAAGGCUUUGACGGGUGGCCGGCCUGGGAGGGUGAACGGCCACCUUGGGACUGCGAUACGGACCAGUCUGCAACGGUAGGCAGCAGUGGGGAAUAUUGCACAACGGGGGGACGUGUGUGGAAGAGGCGCCGCGAGCGGGAUGCCGGCCUUCGGGUUGUGAACCGCUGUAGCCUGUGACGAAGCGUGAGUGACGGUAAUGGGUAAAGAAGCACCGGCUAACUACGUG